AACCACAUACCCACCAUACGACUGGAAUCACACAUACACUGCCACAAGAGGUCUGCAGUGAAGGUCCCAAAGUCCCAGACAAUAAGACUGAAAGCAACACCAGCCAGUCUUGGGAAAUAUAAAGUCACAAAUAAAUUUUGAUAAUUUUUCAUUUCGUAAAGGAUCUUUCUGCUGAUGCAGCUGUUAAGAGUGUUUCAUAAACUGUGACAACACUAAGCAAAAUCAUAGAAGGAAACUCUAUGGACAAUUUCAGAUGGAGAAGAAGAAAGGACUGGAAGUUCAAUUUGGCCAUGACAAUUAGAGGCCAGGUGCAGUGCAUGUAAUCCCAGCACUUUGGGAGACUGAGAUGGGAAGAUCGCUUGAGGCCAGGAGUGCAAGACCAGCCUGGGCAACACAGCAAGACCUUGAUUCUACUAAAAAAAAAAAAGGAUCCUUCAACUUCAACAAUAAUAACACAAGGGAAGUGAAGAAAAACACUUUCUAAGGAAAUCUCUCUCUGAGCUACCAUCCUGCUAGGGAGAGCCUGAAAGCAGAAUGCUGACUUGACUAGCUCUGGUCAAUGAAAGAAAUCACCAGUGGAAAGGCUACCAGGGGGCUUUCUCAAAAGAGAGGGACAGUAAACUGCAAGAUGAACAACUCAAUGCCAUCCAGGUCUGGAUGAGAAAGAACAGUCG
Molecule: long non-coding RNA, 674 nt
Filed under: Homo sapiens (human)
Lineage: Eukaryota; Metazoa; Chordata; Mammalia; Primates; Hominidae
Description: SRD5A3 antisense RNA 1
Source: RNAcentral